CCAGCUGAAGCCCCGGAAGAGGAGCUUGGAAGCGAGCGGGACGUCGAUGAUGAUCUCCUUCUGCGUGGGCUUCUUCUCUCCGCGGAUGGCGAUCAGGUAGCUGCGGCCGACCCAGCCGAUCCAGCCGGCGAUGUAGAGGAAGAGCAGGCCGGGGGUGAUGAACUCGCCCCAGUGGCGCUGGUCGCCGCUGACGAUGAGGUGCGGGAGGCCGUCGGCGCCGCAGAGCAGGCCGAACUUGCCGUAGUUGUCGAAGCGGCGCUUGGUCCUCUCCAUGGUGGCCUUGAUGGCGAGCGCGGGGGCGGAGUCGGGAUCGUACUUCUUCAGCGACGACUCCAGCUUCCUCAGCGCCUGCUUCUCCCUCUUGGCGAAGGCCUUGGACUCCUUGCAGGGGGUGAGGCCGGCGAUGUCCGCCGCCGCCGGCAGCGGCGCGGAGGAGAUCAGGAUCGAGGACAGCGCCAGCGCCGCGGAGAACGCCUUCAGGGAGGAGGAGACCGCCGCCGGCGCCUGCUCCCUCUCCGGCGGCACCGCCGAGCAGGAGAUGGCCGGCCUGAGCCUCGGCUGGCACUGCAGCAGCGGCAUCCUCGGCUUGGAGACCGGCUUCGCCAGCGUCGUGAUCGGAAUGGCCGCGAAGCUCGACAUCUUCCCCUUCCUCUUCCUCCCCUCUGCUCUCUCUCUCCUCUGGACUGGUUUGUUGCAGGUGGGAGAGGGGAGAGGGAAAUGGGGGCGGCGGAGAGGGAUGAUGAGAGUGGGGCAGGAGAGAGAGAGGCAGAGAGGAGAGAGAGGGCGGAGGAGGUGAUUGGUGGAGAGGCGGGAGGGGGAUAAGAUGGAGAGCACCGCCGUGCUGAGCUGGCGGACAGUGAUUGGAUCACUGGAGCGCGUGGAC
This 883-nucleotide long non-coding RNA is filed under the name Spirodela polyrhiza (greater duckweed). RNAcentral describes it as "long non-coding RNA (SPOL_LNC002536)". Lineage: Eukaryota; Viridiplantae; Streptophyta; Magnoliopsida; Alismatales; Araceae. The record is from RNAcentral.